GAAUUAGGUUAGAUUAUAAUUAAAUUGUAUAUUGAUAUAAGAAAAUUAAAUUUAUUAGGUGAAAUUUUAAAUUUAAUAAAUUUUAUAGUUUGAGAUAUUGAAAUUAUGAAAUUUUAAAAUUAAACUAGGAUUAGAUACCCUAUUAUUUAAAAUGUAAAUAAAUAAUCUAGAAUAGUAUUAGUUAUGUUCUUGAAAUUUAAAAAAUUUGGCGGUAUUUUAGUCUAUUCAGAGGAACCUGUUUUAUAAUUGAUAAUCCACGUUGGACCUUACUUAGUUUUGUUUAGUUUGUAUACCGCCGUCGUCAGAAUGUCUUUAAAAAGUAAUAAUUUUCUUAAAUUUUUAAUGUAAAUUAUGUCAGGUCAAGGUGCAGCUUAUAAUUAAGUAAAAAUGGGUUACAAUAAAUUUAUUUUUGGAUAAAAAUUUGAAAUUAUUUUUUGAAAUUGGAUUUGAUAGUAAAAUAAUAAAGAAAAAUUAUUUGAUUUUAGCUCUAAAAUAUGCACAUAUCGCCCGUCGCUCUCGUUAUUAAGAUGAGAUAAGUCGUAACAUAGUAGAUGUACCGGAAGGUGUAUCUAGAAAGAC
Molecule: ribosomal RNA, 579 nt
Filed under: Nephrotoma tenuipes
Lineage: Eukaryota; Metazoa; Arthropoda; Insecta; Diptera; Tipulidae
Description: 12S ribosomal RNA
Source: RNAcentral